GUUGUGGUUAAAAGCUCGUAGUUGAACCUUGGGCCUGGCUGGCCGGUCCGCCUCACCGCGUGCACUGGUCCGGCCGGGCCUUUCCCUCUGUGGAACCCCAUACCCUUCACUGGGCGUGGCGGGGAAACAGGACAUUUACUUUGAAAAAAUUAGAGUGCUCCAGGCAGGCCUAUGCUCGAAUACAUUAGCAUGGAAUAAUAGAAUAGGACGUGCGGUUCUAUUUUGUUGGUUUCUAGGACCGCCGUAAUGAUUAAUAGGGACAGUCGGGGGCAUCAGUAUUCAAUUGUCAGAGGUGAAAUUCUUAGAUUUAUUGAAGACUAACUACUGCGAAAGCAUUUGCCAAGGAUGUUUUCAUUAAUCAGGAACGAAAGUUAGGGGAUCGAAGACGAUCAGAUACCGUCGUAGUCUUAACCAUAAACUAUGCCGACUAGGGAUCGGACGGUGUUAUUUUUUGACCCGUUCGGCACCUUACGAGAAAUCAAAGUGCUUGGGCUCCAGGGGGAGUAUGGUCGCAAGGCUGAAACUUAAAGAAAUUGACGGAAGGGCACCACCAGGGGUGGAGCCUGCGGCUUAAUUUGACUCAACACGGGGAAACUCACCAGGUCCAGACACAAUGAGGAUUGACAGAUUGAGAGCUCUUUCUUGAUUUUGUGGGGUGGUGGUGCAUGGCCGUUCUUAGUUGGUGGAGUGAUUUGUCUGCUUAAUUGCGAUAACGAACGAGACCUUAACCUGCUAACUAGCCCGUAUUGCUUUGGCAGUACGCCGGCUUCUUAGAGGGACUAUCGGCUCAGCCGAUGGAGUUUGAGCAUAACAGUCUGUGAUGCCCUUAGAUGUCUGGGCGCACGCGCGCUACACUGAC
This 859-nucleotide ribosomal RNA is filed under the name uncultured fungus. RNAcentral's name for it is "SSU rRNA". It matches the Rfam family "Eukaryotic small subunit ribosomal RNA", at positions 612 to 1507 of the family's 1831-position model. The record is from RNAcentral. Lineage: Eukaryota; Fungi.